Molecule: unclassified non-coding RNA, 88 nt
Filed under: Pseudomonas koreensis
Lineage: Bacteria; Pseudomonadati; Pseudomonadota; Gammaproteobacteria; Pseudomonadales; Pseudomonadaceae
Source: RNAcentral
GUAGGAGUGAGCCUGCUCGCGAUGGCGCCUGGUCAGUCGACUUCUUCGUUGACUGAUACACCGCUAUCGCGAGCAGGCUCACUCCUGC